GAUGAAGGACGUAGCGAAAUGCGAUACUUGGUGUGAAUUGCAGAAUCCCGUGAACCAUCGAGUCUUUGAACGCAAGUUGCGCCCGAAGCCAUUAGGCCGAGGGCACGCCUGCCUGGGCGUCACACGUCGUUGCCCCCCCAUCUACUCCUUCGGGAUUGCGGGGGGCGGAUGACGGCCUCCCGUGCGCCUCGUCGCGCGGUUGGCAUAAAUGCCAAGUCCUCGGCGACGCACGCCACGACAAUCGGUGGUUGCGAAACCUCGGUUGCCCGUCGUGUGCGGUCGUCGCGCAUCGAGGGCUCGAAAAAAUUGCCGGGCUCCGGCUCGGCUUUCAACGCGACCCCAGGUCAGGCGGGAUUACCCGCUGAAUUUAAGCAUAUCAAUAAGCGGAGGA
Molecule: unclassified non-coding RNA, 391 nt
Filed under: soil metagenome
Description: partial contains 5.8S ribosomal RNA, internal transcribed spacer 2, and large subunit ribosomal RNA
Rfam family: 5.8S ribosomal RNA (bases 1-122)
Source: RNAcentral